CCCUUAGAUGUCCUGGGCCGCACGCGCGUUACACUGAUGCAUUCAACGAGCUUAUAACCUUGUCCGAGAGGCCUGGGCAAUCUUGUUAACGUGCAUCGUGAUAGGGAUAGAUUAUUGAAAUUAUUAAUCUUGAACGAGGAAUUCCUAGUAAACGCAGAUCAUCAAUCUGCAUUGAUUACGUCCCUGCCCUUUGUACACACCGCCCGUCGCACCUACCGAUUGGAUGGUCCGGUGAAGCCUCGGGAUUGUGGUUCUUGCCGCUUUAUUGUGGCGUGACCGCGAGAACUUGUCUAAACCUUAUCAUCUAGAGGAAGGUGAAGUCGUAACA
Molecule: ribosomal RNA, 328 nt
Filed under: uncultured eukaryote
Lineage: Eukaryota
Description: partial 18S ribosomal RNA
Rfam family: Eukaryotic small subunit ribosomal RNA
Source: RNAcentral